RNAcentral lists this unclassified non-coding RNA (392 nucleotides) under soil metagenome. Its description in RNAcentral is "partial contains 5.8S ribosomal RNA, internal transcribed spacer 2, and large subunit ribosomal RNA". The stretch from base 4 to 123 matches the Rfam family "5.8S ribosomal RNA", at positions 37 to 154 of the family's 154-position model. The record is from RNAcentral.
GAUUGAAGAACGUAGCGAAAUGCGAUACUUGGUGUGAAUUGCAGAAUCCCGUGAACCAUCGAGUCUUUGAACGCAAGUUGCGCCCGAAGCCAUUAGGCCGAGGGCACGCCUGCCUGGGCGUCACACGUCGUUGCCCCCCCAUCUACUCCUUCGGGAUUGCGGGGGGCGGAUGAUGGCCUCCCGUGCGCCUCGCCGCGCGGUUGGCAUAAAUGCCAAGUCCUCGGCGACGCACGCCACGACAAUCGGUGGUUGCGAAACCUCGGUUGCCCGUCGUGUGCGGUCGUCGCGCAUCGAGGGCUCGAAAAAAUUGCCGGGUUCCGGCUCGGCUUUCAACGCGACCCCAGGUCAGGCGGGGUUACCCGCUGAAUUUAAGCAUAUCAAUAAGCGGAGGA